Amphibalanus amphitrite is the source of this 2302-nucleotide long non-coding RNA. RefSeq lists it as uncharacterized. The transcript is spliced from 4 exons. The record is from RefSeq and is a predicted model, not a curated record. NCBI's taxonomy places the organism in Eukaryota, Metazoa, Arthropoda, Thecostraca, Balanomorpha, Balanidae.
CAUAUUCAAUUCAAAGGCGAUAAAUUGUUAAUUAGCAAAUUUGUGGUAGAAGACAAUGCUUUUUUUUACUUGAAGGGAAGUGGUAAAGGGAAGACCUGAGGUCCGAUCUCUUCAACACUAGUGAAGGGAGCAGACCCUAUGACAAAGGUAAGUGGUAAAGGAUUUUUGGUUUGCUACCAUGUUCUGCAUGUUUCCACCUCUGUUUCAAACACGACGCGAUAAAAUUGAAGACUUUUUCGGGGCACGUGUCAAAUGUAUUGCUAAUUCAUAGGCGAUGCUGAAAGUGGUUUCAUCCUCAUUUCUACGGUCUCUGUGCGCUAAUAUUUAAUGGUUUUCAUCGUGCAGCAACAUGGUAAACCGUUGUUGUGUCAAGACAUGCAAGCAACACUUUGAUUACAAGCCCCAACAUAAGCAGGGUGCAAAAUGGAAACUACACAGAACCUUGGUACGUCACCUGCGACGGCGACGUCACCUGCGAGUUCCGCGGAACCCCUGACGCCGUCACCAGCUGGACCAUCCGCGGCACUGGACCAUCCAGCGACGGCCGUGACGCCGUCACCAGCUGGACCAUCCGUGGCACUGGACCAUCCAGCGAAGGCCGUGACGCCGUCACCAGCUGGACCAUCCGCGGCACUGGACCAUCCAGCGACGGCCGUGACGCUGUCACCAGCUGGACCAUCCGCGGCCCUGGACCAUCCAGCGACGGCCGUGACGCCGUCACCAGCUGGACCAUCCGCGGCCCUGGACCAUCCAGCGACGGCCGUGACGCCGUCACCAGCUGGACCAUCCGCGGCACUGGACCAUCCAGCGACGGCCGUGACGCCGUCACCAGCUGGACCAUCCGCGGCACUGGACCAUCCAGCGACGGCCGUGACGCCGUCACCAGCUGGACCAUCCGCGGCCCUGGACCAUCCAGCGACGGCCGUGACGCCGUCACCAGCUGGACCAUUCGCGGCACUGGACCAUCCAGCGACGGCCGUGGCGUCGACUCUGCCAGUGCCGGAGACGACGGCGACGUCACCUGCGAGUUCCGCGGAACCCCUGACGCCGUCACCAGCUGGACCAUCCGCGGCCCUGGACCAUCCAGCGACGGCCGUGACGCCGUCACCAGCUGGACCAUUCGCGGCACUGGACCAUCCAGCGACGGCCGUGGCGUCGACUCUGCCAGUGCCGGAGAGGUCGGCGACGUCACCUGCGCCGCUGGUGUCAACACCGCAUGGACAUCAGCUGCGAGCUGGUAAACGGCGGUGGAGUGGAAGCAGAGCGCGCAAGCCACCAGCCAGCUGACUCAGAGCCCAGGGGGCGUUCGCCACCAACAUCCGCACGGCGCAGCUGCAGAGGUGAUUUCUGCCAUGGAGCAGCAUCCGCGGCUCCAUGACAUCAUCCUUCCAUCAUUCUCCAUCAUCAUUUCCGGAGCUCACCCGACGGCGGAGCUGGCGACGCCCGCGCCCCGCCUGGCCGUCCAGCCUGCGCGCUCCGCCGCGCGCCGCGGGCCCGGCUCGCCGAGACGUCCGGCUUAGGUCGGCGUUUGAGGCGCGGCGGGGGGCAACGUCUCUGUGCCCUGCUCCGGGUCCCCGCCGCCUGCGGUCUCUUCUGCUGCCGCCACUGAGGGGAACGGCUCUUCUUUGAAGACAUCAUCGGUCGACGGUGAUGCUGGCGGGCCGGUGGCGGCGUGCCCCGUCGGCAGCGCGCCUGGGGAGGACGCUGGUGACGACGAAUCUUCAUCGCCGUCGGCACCGGUCGCGAGCGAGUCGCUGUUUAGUUGGCCUGCUACUGUGCCAAAAAGUGCGACUGUGGCCAGACUGGUAUACGAUUUGUCAGUGCUUACGCCCCUCUUGCCGUGCCGGCCGUGCUCUUUGCCGUCUAUUGGGGAUGCGUUAGAGUUAUCGUUUUGGGGUUUAUACCGGUAUCAAGAUUGAUUUAAAAGAUGGAUUUCAUCACAUUUCUCGCGCACGUUCCACACGUCCUUUUGGUGUUUUGUAUGAUGGUAAAACGUGCUUAUACCUUUUCUCUGUUACCAAUGGGCCCUAUUAGGUACUGCAUCUCCUGCAUUAUUAGGUAGAGAUGCAGUACCAUUAUUAGGUACUGCAUUAUUAGGUACUGAAGGAGAUGCAGUUAGGUACUGCAGAUGCAGUACCUAACAGAUGCUUUCAGUGAACUUGUAGAGUCGAGAUUUAACGUCAGGUGUUUGGCGUAUUUAGAUGAUUUUCUUUUCAUGUCCAAGGACGCUGAAUGGUAUCGCUGCGUUUCUGACUAGUGUUGGGUUGUGUAUUAAUUUCAAUAAAUGAGUUCUCGUUCCGUU